UUGAUCCUGGCUCAGGACGAACGCUGGCGGCGUGCCUAAUACAUGCAAGUCGAGCGGAUCUMWGGGAGCUUGCUCCCAAAGAUUAGCGGCGGACGGGUGAGUAACACGUGGGCAACCUGCCUAUAAGACUGGGAUAACUUCGGGAAACCGGAGCUAAUACCGGAUAAUGCUUUUGGACACAUGUCYGGAAGCUGAAAGAUGGCUUCUCGCUAUCACUUAUAGAUGGGCCCGCGGCGCAUUAGCUAGUUGGUGAGGUAACGGCUCACCAAGGCAACGAUGCGUAGCCGACCUGAGAGGGUGAUCGGCCACACUGGGACUGAGACACGGCCCAGACUCCUACGGGAGGCAGCAGUAGGGAAUCUUCCGCAAUGGACGAAAGUCUGACGGAGCAACGCCGCGUGAGUGAUGAAGGUUUUCGGAUCGUAAAACUCUGUUGUUAGGGAAGAACAAGUACCGGAGUAACUGCCGGUACCUUGACGGUACCUAACCAGAAAGCCACGGCUAACUACGUGCCAGCAGCCGCGGUAAUACGUAGGUGGCAAGCGUUGUCCGGAAUUAUUGGGCGUAAAGCGCGCGCAGGCGGUUCUUUAAGUCUGAUGUGAAAGCCCCCGGCUCAACCGGGGAGGGUCAUUGGAAACUGGGGAACUUGAGUGCAGAAGAGAAGAGCGGAAUUCCACGUGUAGCGGUGAAAUGCGUAGAGAUGUGGAGGAACACCAGUGGCGAAGGCG
Molecule: ribosomal RNA, 728 nt
Filed under: Bacillus sp. GWS-TZ-H114
Lineage: Bacteria; Bacillati; Bacillota; Bacilli; Caryophanales; Bacillaceae
Description: bacterial SSU rRNA
Rfam family: Bacterial small subunit ribosomal RNA
Source: RNAcentral